RNAcentral lists this ribosomal RNA (271 nucleotides) under uncultured bacterium. RNAcentral describes it as "partial 16S ribosomal RNA". It matches the Rfam family "Bacterial small subunit ribosomal RNA", at positions 28 to 293 of the family's 1533-position model. The record is from RNAcentral.
GACGAACGCUGGCGGCGUGCUUAACACAUGCAAGUCGAGCGGUAAGGCCCUUUCGGGGGUACGACGAGCGGCGAACGGGUGGAGUAACACGUGGGUGACCUGCCCUCCAGCUCUGGGAGUAAGACCUGGGAAACCGGGUACGUAAUACCGGAUAUGACUCCAUGACGCAUGUUGUGGGGUGGAAAGCCUUGUGCGGCUGAGGAUGGGCCCGCGGCCUAUCAGCUUGUUGGUGGGGUGAUGGCCUACCAAGGCGACGACGGGUAGCCGGCCU